Molecule: ribosomal RNA, 253 nt
Filed under: uncultured bacterium
Lineage: Bacteria
Description: partial 16S ribosomal RNA
Rfam family: Bacterial small subunit ribosomal RNA
Source: RNAcentral
UACGUAGGGUGCGAGCGUUAAUCGGAAUUACUGGGCGUAAAGUGUGCGCAGGCGGCCGAGCAAGUCGAGUGUGAAAGCCCCGGGCUUAACUUGGGAAUUGCGCUCGAAACUACUUGGCUGGAGUGUGGCAGAGGAAGGUGGAAUUCCAGGUGUAGCGGUGAAAUGCGUAGAUAUCAGGAGGAAUACCGAUGGCGAAGGCAGGUCUCUGGGCUGACACUGACGCUCAUGCACGAAAGCGUGGGGAGCAAACAGG